AAUCCCCGAGUAGAGUGGCGAACGGGUGAGUAAUACAUCGGAACGUACCCAGUAGCGGGGGAUAACCUCUCGAAAGAGAGGCUAAUACCGCAUACGACCUACGGGUGAAAGAGGGGGAUCGCAAGACCUCUCACUAUUGGAGCGGCCGAUGUCGGAUUAGCUAGUUGGUGGGGUAAAAGCCUACCAAGGCUACGAUCCGUAGCUGGUCUGAGAGGACGGCCAGCCACACUGGAACUGAGACACGGUCCAGACUCCUACGGGAGGCAGCAGUGGGGAAUUUUGGACAAUGGGCGCAAGCCUGAUCCAGCCAUGCCGCGUGAGUGAAGAAGGCCUUCGGGUUGUAAAGCUCUUUCGGCUGGGACGAAAAGGUCCGUGCUAACACCACGGAUCCAUGACGGUACCAGCAGAAGAAGCACCGGCUAACUACGUGCCAGCAGCCGCGGUAAUACGUAGGGUGCAGGCGUUAAUCGGAAUUACUGGGCGUAAAGCGUGCGCAGGCGGUUUGCUAAGACAGGUGUGAAAUCCCCGGGCUUAACCUGGGAACUGCGCUUGUAACUGGCAAGCUGGAGUGUGGCAGAGGGGGGUGGAAUUCCACGUGUAGCAGUGAAAUGCGUAGAGAUGUGGAGGAACACCGAUGGCGAAGGCAGCCCCCUGGGCUAACACUGACGCUCAUGCACGAAAGCGUGGGGAGCAAACAGGAUUAGAUACCCUGGUAGUCCACGCCCUAAACUAUGUCAACUGGUUGUCGGGGAAGCAAUUCCUUGGUAACGAAGCUNACGCGUGAAGUUGACCGCCUGGGGAGUACGGCCGCAAGGUUAAAACUCAAAGGAAUUGACGGGGACCCGCACANGCNGGGGGAUUAUGUGGAUUAAUNCGAUGCAACGCGAAAAACCUUAC
Molecule: ribosomal RNA, 897 nt
Filed under: uncultured beta proteobacterium
Lineage: Bacteria; Pseudomonadati; Pseudomonadota; Betaproteobacteria
Description: bacterial SSU rRNA
Rfam family: Bacterial small subunit ribosomal RNA
Source: RNAcentral